CGGAGGAAAAGAAACCAACAGGGAUUGCCUUAGUAGCGGCGAGUGAAGCGGCAAAAGCUCAAAUUUGAAAUCUGGCACUUUCAGUGUCCGAGUUGUAAUUUGAAGAAGGUAUCUUUGGGUCUGGCUCUUGUCUAUGUUUCUUGGAACAGAACGUCACAGAGGGUGAGAAUCCCGUGCGAUGAGAUGUCCCAGACCUAUGUAAAGUUCCUUCGAAGAGUCGAGUUGUUUGGGAAUGCAGCUCUAAGUGGGUGGUAAAUUCCAUCUAAAGCUAAAUAUUGGCGAGAGACCGAUAGCGAACAAGUACAGUGAUGGAAAGAUGAAAAGAACUUUGAAAAGAGAGUGAAAAAGUACGUGAAAUUGUUGAAAGGGAAGGGCUUGAGAUCAGACUUGGUAUUUUGUAUGUUACUCUCUCGGGGGUGGCCUCUACAGUUUACCGGGCCAGCAUCAGUUUGAGCGGUAGGAUAAGUGCAAAGAAAUGUGGCACUGCUUCGGUAGUGUGUUAUAGUCUUUGUCGAUACUGCCAGCUUAGACUGAGGACUGCGGCUUCGGCCUAGGAUGUUGGCAUAAUGAUCUUAAGUCGCCCGUCUU
This 588-nucleotide ribosomal RNA is filed under the name Lodderomyces parapsilosis. RNAcentral describes it as "eukaryotic LSU rRNA". It matches the Rfam family "Eukaryotic large subunit ribosomal RNA", at positions 51 to 655 of the family's 3401-position model. Lineage: Eukaryota; Fungi; Ascomycota; Pichiomycetes; Serinales; Debaryomycetaceae. The record is from RNAcentral.